GAUGAACGCUAGCUACAGGCUUAACACAUGCAAGUCGAGGGGUAACGAGAGGGAAGCUUGCUUUCCUUGUCGACGACCGGCGCACGGGUGAGUAACGCGUAUCCAACCUGCCCCCAACUAGGGAAUAACCUUGCGAAAGUAAGACUAAUACCCUAUAAUUUCCUCAGAUGUCAUCUGACGAGGAAUAAAGAUUUAUCGGUUGUGGAUGGGGAUGCGUCUGAUUAGCUUGUUGGCGGGGUAACGGCCCACCAAGGCAACGAUCAGUAGGGGUUCUUAGAGGAAGGUCCCCCACAUUGGAACUGAGACACGGUCCAAACUCCUACGGGGGGCAGCAGUGAGGAAUAUUGGUCAAUGGGCGGAAGCCUGAACCAGCCAAGUAGCGUGCAGGAUGACGGCCCUAUGGGUUGUAAACUGCUUUUAUACAGGAAUAAAGUUAGCCACGUGUGGUUAUUUGUAGGUACUGUAUGAAUAAGGACCGGCUAAUUCCGUGCCAGCCGCCGCGGUAA
This 506-nucleotide ribosomal RNA is filed under the name uncultured bacterium. Its description in RNAcentral is "partial 16S ribosomal RNA". It matches the Rfam family "Bacterial small subunit ribosomal RNA", at positions 28 to 523 of the family's 1533-position model. The record is from RNAcentral.